AGAGUUUGAUCAUGGCUCAGAUUGAACGCUGGCGGAAUGCUUUACACAUGCAAGUCGAGCGGCAGCGCGGGGCAACCUGGCGGCGAGCGGCGAACGGGUGAGUAAUGCAUCGGAACAUGUCCAUGUCGUGGGGGAUAGCCCGGCGAAAGCCGGAUUAAUACCGCAUACGCCCGAGAGGGGAAAGCCGGGGACCGUAAGGCCUGGCGCGAUUGGGUUGGCCGAUGUCCGAUUAGCUAGUUGGCGGGGUAAGAGCCCACCAAGGCGAUGAUCGGUAGCUGGUCUGAGAGGAUGAUCAGCCACACUGGGACUGAGACACGGCCCAGACUCCUACGGGAGGCAGCAGUGGGGAAUUUUGGACAAUGGGGGAAACCCUGAUCCAGCCAUUCCGCGUGAGUGAAGAAGGCCUUCGGGUUGUAAAGCUCUUUUGUCCGGAACGAAACGGUUGGCGUGAAUAUCGCCGGCUACUGACGGUACCGGAAGAAUAAGCACCGGCUAACUACGUGCCAGCAGCCGCGGUAAUACGUAGGGUGCGAGCGUUAAUCGGAAUUACUGGGCGUAAAGCGUGCGCAGGCGGUUUUGUAAGCCAGAUGUGAAAUCCCCGGGCUUAACCUGGGAAUGGCAUUUGGGACUGCAAGGCUGGAGUUUGGCAGAGGAGACUGGAAUUCCUGGUGUAGCAGUGAAAUGCGUAGAUAUCAGGAGGAAUACCGAUGGCGAAGGCAGGUCUCUGGGCUAUAACUGACGCUCAUGCACGAAAGCGUGGGGAGCAAACAGGAUUAGAUACCCUAGUAGUCC
Molecule: ribosomal RNA, 792 nt
Filed under: uncultured bacterium
Lineage: Bacteria
Description: bacterial SSU rRNA
Rfam family: Bacterial small subunit ribosomal RNA
Source: RNAcentral